Molecule: ribosomal RNA, 268 nt
Filed under: unidentified gamma proteobacterium groupJ
Lineage: Bacteria; Pseudomonadati; Pseudomonadota; Gammaproteobacteria
Description: partial 16S small subunit ribosomal RNA
Rfam family: Bacterial small subunit ribosomal RNA
Source: RNAcentral
UAUCCUUAUUUGCCAGCACGUCAUGGUGGGAACUAUAAGGAGACUGCCGGUGAUAAACCGGAGGAAGGCGGGGACGACGUCAAGUCAUCAUGGCCCUUACGACCAGGGCUACACACGUGCUACAAUGGGAAGGACAAAGGGUUGCUAAGCCGCGAGGUGGUGCUAAUCUCAUAAACCUUUUCGUAGUCCGGAUCGGAGUCUGCAACUCGACUCCGUGAAGUCGGAAUCGCUAGUAAUCGUGGAUCAGAAUGCCACGGUGAAUACGUUC